GCGUUGUCCGGAAUUACUGGGCGUCAAGAGCUCGCAUGCGGUUUGUCGCGUCGUCUGUGAAAACCCGUGGCUCAACCACGGGCUUGCAGGCGAUACGGGCAGGCUUGAGUAUUGCAGGGGAGACUGGAAUUCCUGGUGUAGCGGUGAAAUGCGCAGAUAUCAGGAGGAACACCGGUGGCGAAGGCGAGUCUCUGGGCAAAUACUGACGCUGAGGAGCGAAAGCAUG
This 226-nucleotide ribosomal RNA is filed under the name uncultured bacterium. RNAcentral describes it as "partial 16S ribosomal RNA". It matches the Rfam family "Bacterial small subunit ribosomal RNA", at positions 538 to 763 of the family's 1533-position model. The record is from RNAcentral.